Molecule: long non-coding RNA, 259 nt
Filed under: Cricetulus griseus (Chinese hamster)
Lineage: Eukaryota; Metazoa; Chordata; Mammalia; Rodentia; Cricetidae
Description: lncRNA (ENSCGRG00015039587.1)
Source: RNAcentral
GAAGACAUAAAAUGCUGAUUGGCCAUUUGCCAGGCAGGAAGUAUAGGCGGGGCUACCAGACUAGGAGAAAGCUGGAAAGAGGAAGUGGUCACCAGCCAGAUGCAGAGGAAACAAGAUGGGAAUGCCUUACUGAGAAAAGCCUGACAGAUCUGAAUUCUAUCACCAGAAGCCACAGUGGAAGGAGAUAGAGAAAUGUCUCCCAAAAGUUGUCCUCUGACCUUCACACAUGAACAGCGGCAUUCUCAUACCCUAUUCACAU